UUUCCGUAGGUGAACCUGCGGAAGGAUCAUUAACACUUAUCCACUUCCAAACAACCCGUUGAACUAUCUCGUUAUAUUGAUGUGCUAGGAGGUGCUAGGCUAUGUGGUGAGGAAAGGAGGCUGCGUCAGAGAAAUCUGAUUGUGUGCCGAUCCCGUCUUCAUCUCCUCUUGAUUUUCCUCUUCAUUGGAAAGAAAUUUCCUGAUUUGGGCUGUCAUAGCUGCAAUAUAAUGAUCACCACGAUAUUUUACCAAACCCCUAUGAACUCUGUACUAAUUUUGUAUCUUACUUGUAGAGUUGAGAGAAAUCUCCUCUCUUUUAAGAAACACUUUACGAAACAUUGAACAACUCUUAGCAACGGAUAUCUUGGUUCCC
Molecule: unclassified non-coding RNA, 373 nt
Filed under: plant metagenome
Description: partial contains small subunit ribosomal RNA, internal transcribed spacer 1, and 5.8S ribosomal RNA
Source: RNAcentral